GCCCGGCGAGUGACCCGCUGGACAGAUGCCCUCGGGCUUGCUGACCCGCUUUGUCCGCUGAGCGGCCGUCACACAAGAGCCGCUCCUCCGGUGACCACAGGAGAGCCCCGCUAUGACCUUCCUCACCUGGCGGGCUUCCUGUCCAGCUGGUUGCCCCGGAUGCCAUCGGAGAGGCACAGCAAGACAGAAAGUAUCAGGUACACACUCAUUACAACCGACCGUCUCAGCUGUGCAGGGAAAGCACAAUGCACGGAAAAGACUGCAGUUUGCUAAAUGUUAACGAUACUUCAGGCCUCUUUGGAAAAUGACCGCUCGGCCUCUCAGUACCGCCUGGUCCCGGGUCUGGAAACACCUGGGUCCUGCCCGGCUGGAAAGACGGGGCGUGACCCCCUGGAUCUCUGUCCUCGGCCGCGAGAAGGUGACCCACCGCUGGAAAUUCCCACGGCAAGUGUCGGUGUUGAUAAGAGUCCCUGAGAAAGUGGUGGCCAGGGGGCUGUGUGCCGAGCCCUCGAGGCCUUUCCCCUCGGGCUCUCCUUCUUCUGUCCUCUGUCCUCUGCCGCGGCCUCCCUUCCCUCCACCUGUCCCCUCUGUGCAGCCGGCCCCUCGGCCUUCGAGCCGCUGGCGGGCCCUCCCAGGGCUGCUCUGUCCCCCAGCUCUGCACACCUCUCUCCUCCCUCCUCCUCGUCGCCUGCCUGGCUCUGGGUCACCCCCUUACUUGGUUCCAAAGAGCGAGCCCCAACCUGCCCAUGAGGGUGCUCGGAGGGGGCGGAGCCGUGGGCGCGUCUCUUCAAGGAGCCUGAAUCCGUGACGUGAAAGUGUGAAGGGCUCUUCCACUCUGGCUCCCCGCUCCUGCGUGAGCGGACACAUCUCCAGACAGGGAGGCGUCAGGUUUCCUGCAGGAAACUAAAGACCCGGGCACCGCGCAGCGGCGCCCAUCACCUGCGCGGCCCGCUGGCCUUCGCCAGAGGCUUUGCUUCCCGGGUGCGUGGAGGCCACAUCUUUAAUAGGAUCCCUUCCCCAGAUCUCUCUAAGGAAGGUGGACGCGUGUCUUCUAGAUAAGUGAGCUCACAGUAAGGCUGGCGGUUCUCAUUUCGGUGCGAGCCAGCGUCUCACCCCUUCUUAUCUGAGUCACAAGGACACUGGGCCGGCACCGUCCUCGCCGUCUACACUGGGGAGCUGUCCUGGUGGGGGAGAAUCCUUAUGACUUUGAAGGGUGGUGAUGGGAUGCCUGGAGGCACUGCAGCCAUCUUGUGAUCAUGAGGAAGUAGCCAACAUGCUGAAGACAGUAGGGCAGAGAGUCAGAAACAACCUCUGUUCAUGGGGACACAUGCCACCAGAUUAAUGGCCCCUAGAACGAUUUUACCUCUCCAGUCCUCAAUG
Molecule: long non-coding RNA, 1380 nt
Organism: Lynx canadensis (Canada lynx)
Lineage: Eukaryota; Metazoa; Chordata; Mammalia; Carnivora; Felidae
Exons: 4
Source: RefSeq, a predicted model, not a curated record